ACAGCCCUGCCUGCGCCGCUGCCCCCAGCGCCGGUGCCGAUGCCGGGCCCAGGCCGAGCCCAGGCCCAGGCCCAGCCUAGGCACGCUCUGCCGCCCGCUCACCGCCCGGCUCGCCUGGCUGCAGAGGGCACCAGAGCAUCGGGAAGAAACCCGGCCCCGGCCAAGGCAACCGCUCGUCCUCCUACCAGGGGUGGGGGCAAGGGACAAACCCCAGCCCCUGCUGCACAGUUUCCAGUUAUGUCUAUGGAGAGUUUACGGGAAUACCCUGAAUCCUAUUAUGAAACACUGCUGCUGCUUCAGGACCAUCUGGCACUGCUGACACUGUGCUAGGAGAAAGAGAGAACAAGCCACGGCGCCAGCGAGGGAGCAGAGCGGGGAUUUACGGCCCAGAGGAACUUGCUUCAUCUGGUCAGCGGCUCCACACCAAGAAUAGUAACAGUAAAUACAUCUGAGCAACCAGCUCUACUUCUCACCUAAGUAAUAUCCUGGACUGGGAGAAAACGAAAAUUGAGCAAUGUGUUUAGGUAGUUGUUUCCUUGGUAUUUUUUCGCCCCAAGGCACAGGGAGUGUCUAAAAGCAGCGUAGGCUGCUUGUCCCCGAGACAGCCAAGGACCUCGGCAGCUGCAGGGGAGCCGUGGCCUUCGUGCUCAGGACGGUGGACUUCAGGUGUGCAGAGACAGCAAGGGCUGUCCACCUCCACUGCACCAGUCACGCUGACCCAGUUAAGUCUGUGCUCAUCUACCAUCAGUCUACAAGCAUCCAGGGAAUAUUUCAGAUCAUGGCUACAAAGCAGCAUCUUCUCUGCUCUCCCCCAUUUUCCCGGGUUUGGGUCUCCACAUAACUAUUCUUUAGCUUUUAAUAAAGCGGAUGUGUCUGCAUCUCUGGCUUAUUGCAAGAUGCUUUUCAUGGAUCAGAGGGAGAACGGGUUAAAAAACUGCCUUUGGUUUUGGCAGAAAAGCAAUAGUUUAGAGACAAGUCAAUUGAGAACCUUUUGAAAGACUUCAAGAAAUCACUGGAUGGAGCCCAUAAGGAACAGGAAAUAAGCACUACUCUUACCCGCAACAUCAGGUCCAGCAGCUUCCGUGGAGAGCUAGCACUUGUCCUGCAGCUUACUGUGGAGAAGUGUUUAGACUCGGCACAUUUUUACCCCAGCAUCUUUAAACAUCCCCACAAUAUGUGAAAACUGCUGAAACUGUUACUCGCGAACUCCAGGUGGGAAGGGCUAAGCUCCCAGCCUUGAACAACCUAAACCUGUCAAUAUUUCAGAUCUUCACCUGAGUUUAGCAGAUGGGACCUGUCAUUACCAGCAAAGGAAAAGGACCGUGUUUUCCUUAUGAGCUCAUCAUCUACUCCUUUCGUGACAUCAUUGCAGAAUAUUUAGCUAAGUAACUUGAUAAGCCUUUGGGGGUUGUUUUGGGGAGGGUUUUUUUUUUUUUUCACUUUUAAAUCAAUAAGGGCUCCAUUGUUGCUCCAGAUAAGCAGCCAUUUUGGGUUACUUGAGUACAAGCUGCAGAUAAGAUGACUGUCUCCUGGAGGCUUUUGUUCUCUCUUUUUUGCUUGUGGUUUUUUUGUUUCUUCCCCUCUUAAAGUAAAAUAGGGGUAGCACUAGCUGAAAGUUCACUAUGAGGUUGUUCUUCAUGCAUGGGAAAGUAGAGUGAUCACAAGCCCUUCCGCAAUGACUAGCUGGGGAAUCUGCACUGCCCUUGGGACUCCAGGGCCUGAAUUUGCAAGUCUUGCUUGCGUAUGUGAGCUAGCAUGCGCGCGCACACACACUGCAAUAUUGCAGCCUUUUCCCCCUGCAGGGUGGGUUGAAGGCUGGGCAUACUGUUAAUAUAAUUAAUAUCUAAUGUUUCUCUGUUAAAGAUGUCUGUGAUGCAGAAUCUGGGAACCAAGAUCCUUGCAUGAUGAAAAUGGACACAACUCUGCAUCAGCCCUGGAAAACACCGAUUUGUGAGCUUACAGCACGAUAUGUGGGAAUACUGUCCUUCAUCUUUUACAUGCCGAGUUUUACAACCACAAAAAUGGUGUAAAGACGUGACCUACAAACAAUUGCUCUACGUGCAUAUAAAGCUGGGGUAGGACUUAGACCAUGCUUCGUUGCUUUUCAUCUGAGUUCUUCCAGCUCUUGGGAAGAGAAGGAAACUGUUCUGACCAUCCCGCACAACCCCCUGGACAGCCCACGUCAGAGCCCUCCUGCCAUUCCCUGACUACAUCCCUGUCCUCUGCCACAAUGAGCCCAGGCAAUAAUCACAGGGGAGUGCCCACGGGCAAGCGGGGAAUGAGCCAGUCCAGCCUAUUCCCUGAUUUGCAGGGUCAACAGUUCCUUGUACCACUUCACACUUGCAGAGCAUAUCCCAGAGGAUGCAGACCCAGGCCACCAGCUGAAACAGUUGUGCUCCGCUUUCAGCCCGACAGUAAUUCACAACAUAAAGAUGGAUGACCAGCUUUCCUUCCUUACUUGCCUGGGUUCUGUAAGGCUUCGAACAGCUCUUAAUUCUGUUUGGUGCCUUGCCUAAUAGGGCUUCGAAAAAGUUCCUCUAAAUAGGAGUCAUUGUGAUAAAUUACUCCUCAUUAACUAAUCAACCUGCUCAAUAACAUUGUGAAAGAUGCAGUUAAAUAAGUUUUAUCAGCCCCAGUUUACAAACAGACCACGAGAUUACCUGUGAGAUAUGCUCAAAGCUACAUACCAUAAACAGUCAGAAGGAAAGCCCAGACUAGACUUCUCUCCUAAAGCCAUGCUGUGGUCUCCAGAGAGCGCACUACCUCUAAAAUCAGUCUUUAUCAUCAGGUCCUCAGGCUCUUGCAAGAGUUCUCUCAUCCUCAUCCUCCUAUUUCACAGACUCCAUUUCUCUAAAGCAUGCUGGAAGAGGCAGUCCUGGUACUUGAGCUGUACUUGACUAUGAAGCAUCUACCCCAGAUUGCAGGAAACUACUGCACUUACUUAAGCCUGCCUUGAACUUUGGUACAACAUACCAUGGGGACCAUGUCAAAUCACACUCACCUCCCCCUACCCAGGGAUACACAAGCUCUCCUAGCACCCCUGUCCUGAUUCAGGUGGUUUAACUGAGCAUUAAUGAUAAUCAGUUACUCACAAACAUCUGAGCUGAAACUUCUCAUUUGCUGAGCUUUUGUUUUCCACAGGUGUAAGUGCACAGGGCUCCACACCCUGCUAGUUUCCAGUCUUUGUUUUCCAUACUGCUUGAAUUUCCAUCCUUCCUCCCCACCACACCUGCCACAGAGGAAACACCUAAUAUGCCUGUGUAUCUUUUUUUUUGCCUGUAAUACGUUAACUUAAUUCAAUGGGGCAUGUUGAUUCCUGAGAAGUGUGUAAAGUCAAGGAAUGCAUCUUCUAGGGGAUGUAAGGUUGAGGUGAUGGACCUCUCAGGCAGUGUUUCCCCUACACCACACAAGUAAGAUAGAAUUUUUCACCUCUCCUGAAAAAAAAAAAAAAGAAAAAAAAGAAGGCUGUCUUAACAUGUUUAUAACUGUGGCUGCAUCCUAGAAAAUAGAUAACCUGAGGAAAAAAAAUAAAAGACUAUGAGGUAUUAACUA
Molecule: long non-coding RNA, 3552 nt
Organism: Dromaius novaehollandiae (emu)
Lineage: Eukaryota; Metazoa; Chordata; Aves; Casuariiformes; Dromaiidae
Exons: 3
Source: RefSeq, a predicted model, not a curated record